This 701-nucleotide long non-coding RNA is filed under the name Arabidopsis thaliana (thale cress). RNAcentral describes it as "ncRNA (AT1G07119)". Lineage: Eukaryota; Viridiplantae; Streptophyta; Magnoliopsida; Brassicales; Brassicaceae. The record is from RNAcentral.
AAUAGUUCACUCUCCUUCAGCGUUCAGAUCCUGAGAGUUUUAUUGAGCGCCAUUAAUUUCUUCUCUCUUUUGGGUUUUAAGCGCCAUGAAUUUCGAAAACCUCAAAUCACAAAACCGAUGGUGAUGAUAAAAAAUUCGACUGCCGAAGAGAAACUGGAAUCAGAGUCGUUUGUCACUCGUAUUAAUCCGAGGCAAAUCGAACCCCUUGAAGCAUAAGAUUUCCUUCUUUACCACUUCCAUUUGAUUCCAGCUCCUUCGCUAUUCGCUUCAUAUACUCCUGAGCUAGCCUCAGCGAGCUGUAUUUUAGCUGCAACAAGGCGACAAAACUCCAUUCUGAUUGAUCUUGUUCCCCAUAUGAGACUCUCUCUUCGUCAGGGCACGAUAAAACUCUACGACUUCUGGAGCACGCCGCACAGAUCUUUUUCCAAGUGUUCUCUUUGAUGGAAGUGGUGGAGGUGGUGGCGGCUUUGUUGCUGUAGACUGACCUUGGAUCGUUGGCUUGGGAUUUGGAUUUCUGACCUCUUGACCCUUUGUGUUGGAUUUGACACUCUCUGGCGCUUUCAGCUUAUCGUUCCUCACUAGAUAGGCUUGAAGCUCCUUCACCAGACGCAGGAGAUCUGAAUCAUCUUCUCCAUUAGAUUAAGUUUGAAGAUCCUCUGAGUCCGCAAAUAAGUCACAGUCCCAGCCAUGGAUCGAUCCCU